GCCGAAGGGUUCCGCUGGACACGCAGGCGGCCUCCGGAGCAGCCCAAGCCCAUGAGGGCCGCGCGCCCGGCCGCCGGUGCUGACGAGACGGAGCUCCUGGCCCCCGAGGAGGAGCAGAGGAUCAAUGCGGUUCAAGAAUCGAUUCCAGCGGUUCAUGAACCAUCGAGCUCCAGCCAAUGGCCGCUACAAGCCAACUUGCUAUGAACAUGCUGCUAACUGUUACACACACGCAUUCCUCAUUGUUCCGGCCAUCGUGGGCAGUGCCCUCCUCCAUCGGCUGUCUGAUGACUGCUGGGAAAAGAUAACAGCAUGGAUUUAUGGAAUGGGACUCUGUGCCCUCUUCAUCGUUUCUACAGUAUUUCACAUUGUAUCAUGGAAAAAGAGCCACUUAAGUGGAGCAUUGUUUUCACAUGUGUGAUAGAAUGGUUAUCUAUUUCUUCAUUGCUGCUUCUUAUGCUCCAUGGUUAAAUCUUCGUGAACUUGGACCCCUGGCAUCUCAUAUGCGUUGGUUUAUCUGGCUCAUGGCAGCUGGAGGAACCAUUUAUGUAUUUCUCUACCAUGAAAAAUAUAAGGUGGUUGAACUCUUUUUCUAUCUCACAAUGGGAUUCUCUCCAGCCUUGGUGGUGACAUCAAUGAACAACACCGAUGGACUUCAGGAACUUGCCUGUGGGGGCUUAAUUUAUUGCUUGGGAGUUGUGUUCUUCAAGAGUGAUGGCAUCAUUCCAUUUGCCCACGCCAUCUGGCACCUGUUUGUGGCCACGGCAGCUGCAGUGCAUUACUACGCCAUUUGGAAAUACCUUUACCGAAGUCCUACGGACUUUAUGCGGCAUUUAUGACCAAUCUGUACUAAUUCUCCAAACCAGUAUUAUUUCAAUUAUGGCACUUGGGAGUGGGGUGAGAGCUAAACAUUGCACAGGG
This 918-nucleotide long non-coding RNA is filed under the name Homo sapiens (human). Its description in RNAcentral is "long non-coding RNA NONHSAT176363.1". Lineage: Eukaryota; Metazoa; Chordata; Mammalia; Primates; Hominidae. The record is from RNAcentral.